Molecule: long non-coding RNA, 409 nt
Organism: Lathyrus oleraceus (garden pea)
Lineage: Eukaryota; Viridiplantae; Streptophyta; Magnoliopsida; Fabales; Fabaceae
Exons: 3
Source: RefSeq, a predicted model, not a curated record
UCAUAACGAUUUACAUUUCAUUUUAUAAUUAAUAUGACAAUUAUAUGGGUUUGAAAGUUAUCAAAACAUGAUUUUAAUACUGAAAUCAAGUACGAUUAUAAAGCUAUUUUGAUUCAUAUGGAAUUCCCGUGUUUCUGAAUUCUAAACUAGAAGAACAAGUUACAAUUCAAACUCAGCCAUGCUUGAUAUUGUACAUAAUAUUUGUCAGGGUGUUGAAGAAGUAGAUAAAACUAAAGAAGGAUUUUACAUUAGGUUGGGCAUCACUGUUAUACUGAGGAAUGCAAUACAUUAUAUGAAAGCACUUCAAAUUAACCGGUCGAUCUCUAGAGUUUAGAUAUAAACAUGGAGACUCAACAACAAGAAGCUGACAUGAACAAUACCAAUGUAACUCACUAAUCUGAUAAACCUC